Molecule: unclassified non-coding RNA, 421 nt
Filed under: Hevea brasiliensis (rubber tree)
Lineage: Eukaryota; Viridiplantae; Streptophyta; Magnoliopsida; Malpighiales; Euphorbiaceae
Source: RNAcentral
CCAGCUUAUGGAGUAAACUACAACGCAGCAUAUCCUAGUGCUAGUGCAUCAUACUAUGCUCCUUCCACGCAUGCUCAUCUGUAUUCUCACCCUGAGAGAUACCAGCCACCGCCUCCACCUUCUGAACCGAUCAAUAGGAUGAUUUAUGAUGAUCAUGAUUAUGAUAACAAUGGUGGAUGUUCAAUUGUGUGAGAAAAUUUUGUGAUUGAGGGUAUACGUACGUAAAUCUAUAUAUGAUCGGGCAAUAGUACGUAUUGUGUGGGGAAGGAGGCUAGGGGAGUAUAAUAUAAAUUUGUAAUUACAAGUUUUGUCCCUGUUUAGCUUUAUUUUAUUUAGCUUUAUUAAUUUGCUGCUAUGUAUAUAUAGCUUUGUAAUUUGUAAUGUUAUUGUUGGAUUUCUUGGAAAAAUCUGCCUUUCAUAU